This 484-nucleotide ribosomal RNA is filed under the name uncultured bacterium. RNAcentral's name for it is "partial 16S ribosomal RNA". It matches the Rfam family "Bacterial small subunit ribosomal RNA", at positions 30 to 507 of the family's 1533-position model. The record is from RNAcentral.
AUUGAACGCUGGCGGCAGGCCUAACACAUGCAAGUCGAGCGGAUGAAGGGAGCUUGCUCCUGGAUUCAGCGGCGGACGGGUGAGUAAUGCCUAGGAAUCUGCCUGGUAGUGGGGGAUAACGUCCGGAAACGGGCGCUAAUACCGCAUCCGUCCUGAGGGAGAAAGUGGGGGAUCUUCGGACCUCACGCUAUCAGAUGAGCCUAGGUCGGAUUAGCUAGUUGGUGGGGUAAAGGCCUACCAAGGCGACGAUCCGUAACUGGUCUGAGAGGAUGAUCAGUCACACUGGAACUGAGACACGGUCCAGACUCCUACGGGAGGCAGCAGUGGGGAAUAUUGGACAAUGGGCGAAAGCCUGAUCCAGCCAUGCCGCGUGUGUGAAGAAGGUCUUCGGAUUGUAAAGCACUUUAUGUUGGGAGGAAGGGCAGUAAGUUAAUACCUUGCUGUUUUGACGUUACCAACAGAAUAAGCACCGGCUAACUUCGUG